UACAGAGGGGGCAAGCGUUGUUCGGAAUUACUGGGCGUAAAGGGCGCGUAGGCGGCCUGUUAAGUCGAACGUGAAAUCCCCGGGCUCAACCCGGGAACUGCGUCCGAUACUGGCAGGCUUGAAUCCGGGAGAGGGAUGUGGAAUUCCAGGUGUAGCGGUGAAAUGCGUAGAUAUCUGGAGGAACACCGGUGGCGAAGGCGGUUCUCUGGGCAUGAUCUGACGCUGAGGAGCGAAAGCGUGGGGAGCGAACAGG
RNAcentral lists this ribosomal RNA (253 nucleotides) under uncultured bacterium. RNAcentral describes it as "partial 16S ribosomal RNA". It matches the Rfam family "Bacterial small subunit ribosomal RNA", at positions 524 to 776 of the family's 1533-position model. The record is from RNAcentral.